This 1538-nucleotide long non-coding RNA is filed under the name Crocodylus porosus (Australian saltwater crocodile). RNAcentral's name for it is "lncRNA (ENSCPRG00005003950.1)". Lineage: Eukaryota; Metazoa; Chordata; Crocodylia; Crocodylidae. The record is from RNAcentral.
AAAGCACUCUUCGGCCCCAAAUCUGCCUCCAGUGAAGUGGGAAAAGUGAAGACUCACAGUGAGUUGAAGGAUGGAAAAAAGGAGUUUCACUGGCCAGAGCUUUGAAGUAAUCCUUGCUCACAUAGAAGGCAAUAGCAUGAGUUUAGGCAGUAGGUGGAAAAAUAUCUGACUGGAUCCUACCAGAAUGCCCUGGCAAUUCAGCAGAUUUGCUGGAAGGACAAUUUGGGAAGUCUUGGGGAAAUAUGCUUCUGCAAGUCCUGCAUUGUCUCUAUGGGGUUUCAAAAAGGAGUUUCCUCAUAUGCCUAACCAGCUUCAAGAUGGUAUUGUUGCCUUUAUCAUAAACUUUGAGGGUCAGCAAGGCAUUAUUAUCCAGAUUGAGCUCUCCUUGCAGGAACACCAGAUACAAGCCAUCACAUUCAACCUGGAUUCUGCCAUUUGUGACAUUCCAGUCGCCACUCCAAGCAGCAGUUCAGCAUGUUAUAACCCGUGUUUGACUAUGAGGUUAACCCUGGCCAUCCUGUGUCUCACCUCUACCUGAGUGAUGAGUGACAGUAAGUAGAGGCCUCAGCUCCAAGGCCACUCUUAUACGGAUGCUUGCAAUGCAAUAAUAACAUGAGCCAGAGCUGCCAUUUGUCUCUGAUUAGAAAUGUCUUAAAAAUUAUUUUAUUGAAUACUUCCCUGUAAAUUUCAUUUUAUCAAUGAAAGCUCAGUACUGAAAUUAACAAGAACCCACUGGCUUGCAGAAACAAUGUUUACAAAAAAAAGAAAAAAAAAAACAGAAGAAAUAUCCUUUUCAAUAACAGUUUUGGUAAAAAGCUGGUUUUGAGUUUUACUUUUUUUCUGUGGGGAAAACAAUCAAAUUGAACAUGGUCCCCUGACCAUUUCUCUUUUCCCUAAGGAACUGAUUUUUUCCUCAAAAGUACUUCUCAAUGGAAAUGCAUUCAACCACUUCUAACAUUCAGCGUAACUAUGAAAGUAUAACAGAAAUCAUGAACAGCAAAGCAACCACGAGUCUAAAGCCUUCGGCUGUCCUCUCUCAGCACAGGUUGCAAAUAUGGUUUACAAAUGUAGACAGAAAUCAAUCCCCAAAGUAAGCCUCACUUUACAGAUAAAGGAAGUUCCUGAGACUCCCAGCAUUUCUUCUAGGAGAGAUAAAGGCUAAAGAGUGAAAUGGUAAAACCAGGAGUGAUGCUUGUGCAGUGUGUAGUACUCCUCCAGCAGGUGUAAAGCCAAGUGUUUCUUUGCAGGAUCAGGGCCUAAACAAGUCACUAAUUUAAAACAUGACAGAAAUGAUAGAAGGCAACAGGAAGGAAAGGAAAGAGAGGGAGAACAACAGGCCCGUGCUAUCCAUGUUCUUGUAAACGCAUACUGACCCUCAGAUUUCCUGGCGAUGGUCCACUGGCCUGUAGCCUUUGUGGUGGUCUAAAAAACAACAAAACAAAACCCCAAGUUACUCAUCAUCUCUAUGGAUGCCGGCAAGGGACUCCAGCUGCAAGACUGACAGCUCCCAGGAUUUUACCAUGAACCUCACUGGCGUC